AGUCGACGAAACUUCUUUAUCACCGAGUGCUUGCACUCACCGAUAAAGAGUUGAGUGGCGAACGGGUGAGUAACACGUGGGCAACCUGCCCAAAAGAGGGGGAUAACACUUGGAAACAGGUGCUAAUACCGCAUAACCAUAGUUACCGCAUGGUAACUAUGUAAAAGGUGGCUAUGCUACCGCUUUUGGAUGGGCCCGCGGCGCAUUAGCUAGUUGGUGGGGUAAAGGCUUACCAAGGCAAUGAUGCGUAGCCGAACUGAGAGGUUGAUCGGCCACAUUGGGACUGAGACACGGCCCAAACUCCUACGGGAGGCAGCAGUAGGGAAUCUUCCACAAUGGGCGAAAGCCUGAUGGAGCAACGCCGCGUGGGUGAAGAAGGUCUUCGGAUCGUAAAACCCUGUUGUUAGAGAAGAAAGUGCGUGAGAGUAACUGUUCACGUUUCGACGGUAUCUAACCAGAAAGCCACGGCUAACUACGUGCCAGCAGCCGCGGUAAUACGUAGGUGGCAAGCGUUAUCCGGAUUUAUUGGGCGUAAAGGGAACGCAGGCGGUCUUUUAAGUCUGAUGUGAAAGCCUUCGGCUUAACCGGAGUAGUGCAUUGGAAUCUGGGAGACUUGAGUGCAGAAGAGGAGAGUGGAACUCCAUGUGUAGCGGUGAAAUGCGUAGAUAUAUGGAAGAACACCAGUGGCGAAAGCGGCUCUCUGGUCUGUAACUGACGCUGAGGUUCGAAAGCGUGGGUAG
RNAcentral lists this ribosomal RNA (740 nucleotides) under uncultured bacterium. RNAcentral describes it as "bacterial SSU rRNA". It matches the Rfam family "Bacterial small subunit ribosomal RNA", at positions 60 to 768 of the family's 1533-position model. The record is from RNAcentral.